GUGCCAGCAGCCGCGGUAAUACGUAGGGUGCGAGCGUUAAUCGGAAUUACUGGGCGUAAAGCGUGCGCAGGCGGCUUUGUAAGACAGGUGUGAAAUCCCCGGGCUUAACCUGGGAAUGGCGCUUGUGACUGCAAGGCUUGAGUUCGGCAGAGGGGGGCGGAAUUCCACGUGUAGCAGUGAAAUGCGUAGAGAUGUGGAGGAACACCGAUGGCGAAGGCAGCCCCCUGGGUCGCGACUGACGCUCAUGCACGAAAGCGUGGGGAGCAAACAGGAUUAGAUACCCUGGUAGUCCACGCCCUAAACGAUGUCGACUAGGUGUUGGGGAAGGAGACUUCUUUAGUACCGUAGCUAACGCGUGAAGUCGACCGCCUGGGGAGUACGGUCGCAAGAUUAAAACUCAAAGGAAUUGACGGGGACCCGCACAAGCGGUGGAUGAUGUGGAUUAAUUCGAUGCAACGCGAAAAACCUUACCUACCCUUGACAUGCCAGGAACCUUGCUGAGAGGUGAGGGUGCCCGAAAGGGAGCCUGGACACAGGUGCUGCAUGGCUGUCGUCAGCUCGUGUCGUGAGAUGUUGGGUUAAGUCCCGCAACGAGCGCAACCCUUGUCGCUAAUUGCCAUCAUUCAGUUGGGCACUUUAGCGAGACUGCCGGUGACAAACCGGAGGAAGGUGGGGAUGACGUCAAGUCCUCAUGGCCCUUAUGGGUAGGGCUUCACACGUCAUACAAUGGUCGGUACAGAGGGCUGCUAACCCGCGAGGGGGCGCUAAUCUCAAAAAGCCGAUCGUAGUCCGGAUUGCAGUCUGCAACUCGACUGCAUGAAGUCGGAAUCGCUAGUAAUCGUGGAUCAGCAUGUCACGGUGAAUACGUUCCCGGGUCUUGUACACACCGCCCGUCACACCAUGGGAGUGGGUUCCACCAGAAGUAGGUAGCUUAACCGCAAGGGGGGCGCUUACCACGGUGAGAUUCAUGACUGGGGUGAAGUCGUAACAAGGUAACC
Molecule: ribosomal RNA, 998 nt
Filed under: uncultured bacterium
Lineage: Bacteria
Description: bacterial SSU rRNA
Rfam family: Bacterial small subunit ribosomal RNA
Source: RNAcentral